This 393-nucleotide ribosomal RNA is filed under the name Salmonella enterica. RNAcentral's name for it is "partial 23S ribosomal RNA". It matches the Rfam family "Bacterial large subunit ribosomal RNA", at positions 711 to 1101 of the family's 2925-position model. The record is from RNAcentral. Lineage: Bacteria; Pseudomonadati; Pseudomonadota; Gammaproteobacteria; Enterobacterales; Enterobacteriaceae. RNAcentral also lists the same sequence under 3 other names.
AGACCCGAAACCCGGUGAUCUAGCCAUGGGCAGGUUGAAGGUUGGGUAACACUAACUGGAGGACCGAACCGACUAAUGUUGAAAAAUUAGCGGAUGACCUGUGGCUGGGGGUGAAAGGCCAAUCAAACCGGGAGAUAGCUGGUUCUCCCCGAAAGCUAUUUAGGUAGCGCCUCGUGAAUUCAUCUCCGGGGGUAGAGCACUGUUUCGGCUAGGGGGCCAUCCCGGCUUACCAACCCGAUGCAAACUGCGAAUACCGGAGAAUGUUAUCACGGGAGACACACGGCGGGUGCUAACGUCCGUCGUGAAGAGGGAAACAACCCAGACCGCCAGCUAAGGUCCCAAAGUCAUGGUUAAGUGGGAAACGAUGUGGGAAGGCCCAGACAGCCAGGAUGU